AUUGAGCGCUGGCGGCAGGCCUAACACAUGCAAGUCGAGCGGAUGAAGGGAGCUUGCUCCUGGAUUCAGCGGCGGACGGGUGAGUAAUGCCUAGGAAUCUGCCUGGUAGUGGGGGAUAACGUCCGGAAACGGGCGCUAAUACCGCAUACGUCCUGAGGGAGAAAGUGGGGGAUCUUCGGACCUCACGCUAUCAGAUGAGCCUAGGUCGGAUUAGCUAGUUGGUGGGGUAAAGGCCUACCAAGGCGACGAUCCGUAACUGGUCUGAGAGGAUGAUCAGUCACACUGGAACUGAGACACGGUCCAGACUCCUACGGGAGGCAGCAGUGGGGAAUAUUGGACAAUGGGCGAAAGCCUGAUCCAGCCAUGCCGCGUGUGUGAAGAAGGUCUUCAGAUUGUAAAGCACUUUAAGUUGGGAGGAAGGGCAGUAAGUUAAUACCUUGCUGUUUUGACGUUACCAACAGAAUAAGCACCGGCUAACUUCGUG
This 484-nucleotide ribosomal RNA is filed under the name uncultured bacterium. RNAcentral's name for it is "partial 16S ribosomal RNA". It matches the Rfam family "Bacterial small subunit ribosomal RNA", at positions 30 to 507 of the family's 1533-position model. The record is from RNAcentral.